Molecule: ribosomal RNA, 601 nt
Filed under: Rugamonas sp. 4r2
Lineage: Bacteria; Pseudomonadati; Pseudomonadota; Betaproteobacteria; Burkholderiales; Oxalobacteraceae
Description: bacterial SSU rRNA
Rfam family: Bacterial small subunit ribosomal RNA
Source: RNAcentral
CAGUCGAACGGCAGCGCGGGGCAACCUGGCGGCGAGUGGCGAACGGGUGAGUAAUAUAUCGGAACGUACCCUGGAGUGGGGGAUAACGUAGCGAAAGUUACGCUAAUACCGCAUACGAUCUAAGGAUGAAAGUGGGGGCUUCGCAAGAACCUCAUGCUCCUGGAGCGGCCGAUAUCUGAUUAGCUAGUUGGUGGGGUAAAGGCCUACCAAGGCAUCGAUCAGUAGCUGGUCUGAGAGGACGACCAGCCACACUGGAACUGAGACACGGUCCAGACUCCUACGGGAGGCAGCAGUGGGGAAUUUUGGACAAUGGGCGAAAGCCUGAUCCAGCAAUGCCGCGUGAGUGAAGAAGGCCUUCGGGUUGUAAAGCUCUUUUGUCAGGGAAGAAACGGUGAGGGCUAAUAUCCCUUGCUAAUGACGGUACCUGAAGAAUAAGCACCGGCUAACUACGUGCCAGCAGCCGCGGUAAUACGUAGGGUGCAAGCGUUAAUCGGAAUUACUGGGCGUAAAGCGUGCGCAGGCGGUUUUGUAAGUCUGUCGUGAAAUCCCCGGGCUCAACCUGGGAAUUGCGAUGGAGACUGCAAGGCUAGAAUCUGGCAGA